Molecule: long non-coding RNA, 977 nt
Organism: Erinaceus europaeus (western European hedgehog)
Lineage: Eukaryota; Metazoa; Chordata; Mammalia; Eulipotyphla; Erinaceidae
Exons: 4
Source: RefSeq, a predicted model, not a curated record
UUUAUUGCCUACCGAACUUCCUCUGCUCUCAAUCCCCUUUUUGUCUUAUAAUAACUUUGUAUUGCAUUUUACCUCAAUAAUUUUCUGUUGCCAUUUAAUGAAUACGAUAUUAGGUUUGCUUGUUUUUAAACGUUCAGGAAGAGUUGUGGUUCGUACAGUUUUUCAAACUUCACGGAACUCUCUGCACUGUUGUUUUGUAGUGUGUUCAGAAAUGGCUGUGACUGCUCUUAAGUUCCUGGCCAGUCCUUCUCCAGACUGUCGUCGUCGUCAUGAGGAGAGUCUGAGAAACUGUCACAGUCAAGAAGAGCCCAAGAAACAUGGCAGCUGGACAGAGUGUGAUGUCCUGCAGUUGUUCUGUGACAGGAGCUGCACUGGAGCACCUAGCAGCAAGGAGAGUUCAGCUCCAUGAAAACACAUGACAAACCCCAAGCAGGAAGAAGCCACCCGGCAUUAACCAUGGGCAUCGAGGAGCUGCCACCAUCUCAACAGUCAGCUCUCCAGGGAAACUCAGUGAUCAAACCAUAGGUCAGAUUUGAACUUGUGACUAUGUCUCACACUCUCUCCACUUGCUCAUCUUCUGAGGAGUCAAGAAGGCACGGAUGUGACAGAUUCAGCCCAGAAUGGGAGUAGGAGACAGCACCGCCAAAACAGUUAUUUUCCUGAAAUGUUUCUUCUGAGGUGCUGGGAACCCCAAGAUAAGAGUCCUGUAUUCAGGCGUGAGAGGCAGAAAAUGCAAUUUACCUGCAGCUCGAAAUGGAAAGAAGAAGAAGAAAAAGAGAAAAAAAAAAAAAAAGCAGAAAGUGAGUAUUCACAGUAGCUAAUGCACUACCCAUUUGAUUGCCUGCCUUCUCUUCCCUCAUUUUAGUCAUCAAAAUAGAUAAAGAAAAAGACUUUUCAUCUGAAGAUUGUUGCUGCUGCUGCUGUCCAAAUAGUGAGGUCUUUAAUUGGACAACAUCAAUUCUCACCUGCAAAAACAA